GACAGAGGUGCCGAGCGUUAGGCGGAAUCACUGGGCUUAAAGCGUGUGUAGGCGGAUUGGUAAGUACCUUGUGAAAUCCCACGGCUUAACCGUGGAACUGCUUGGUAUACUGCUUAUCUUGGGCCACUUAGGGGCUACCGGAACAAACGGUGGAGCGGUGAAAUGCGUAGAUAUGCGGAGGAACACCGAUGGCGAAGGCAAUCCCCUGGGCCUGCACUGACGCUCAUGCACGAAAGCGUGGGGAGCAAACAGG
RNAcentral lists this ribosomal RNA (253 nucleotides) under uncultured bacterium. RNAcentral describes it as "partial 16S ribosomal RNA". It matches the Rfam family "Bacterial small subunit ribosomal RNA", at positions 524 to 776 of the family's 1533-position model. The record is from RNAcentral.